This 655-nucleotide long non-coding RNA is filed under the name Prunus dulcis (almond). RNAcentral's name for it is "sRNA ncRNA". Lineage: Eukaryota; Viridiplantae; Streptophyta; Magnoliopsida; Rosales; Rosaceae. The record is from RNAcentral.
AUGUAAUAGAUCGUAUGUGCAAUUAUCCGCUUAGCCAAAAGAAAUGAAGGGAAUGUCAUGUUGGAUUUCUUCGGUGAGGAGGUACGUACGUCCGUGGAAUAUAAAAUAUCUAUCUUAAAUGUCUUUGUCCGUUGCCAAUUGAUUUCGAGUUGGAUGCUUUGAUGCGCCUUGUUUUCCUCCUCUUUUGAAUGAAUAGCAAUCACUCAAAUUAAUUCGGGCAUGGUGCAGGUUUUGUCGAAAUUAUUAGUUUCAGGAGCUGUUGCAGGGUUUCUUGGGUCGUCAGAGCUGGUGAAAGCUUGGGAAGAGUAUGGCGUGAAUAGAGAAGACAUAAACUCGUUUACGAACAAGACAUAUGCAGCAAAUGGACUUGUCCUCCUUAGUUUCGUCUUCAGUUUUGUAUUAUCGGUCCUCUCUUCAUAUGCACUCGCCAGGAAUAUAUCACUUUCAGAGACAUAACUAUCAGUUUGCUGUUCAUUGAUCAAAUUCUUAAUUACCUUUUUUUGUUUAAAUCGUCAUCUGUGAUGUGUGAUUCUCUCUCUAGUAGUUUGUUUUGCUCUUUUGGAAUUUUUACGAGUUGUGUUAGGAAUUAUGUGGAUCAAAGACGUUCUGAUCAGCCCAUAUUGGACAAAUGAUUGUUCAAUAUUGAACAUAAUUA